This is a non-coding RNA of Tachyglossus aculeatus (Australian echidna), 1350 nucleotides long. Lineage: Eukaryota; Metazoa; Chordata; Mammalia; Monotremata; Tachyglossidae. The record is from the annotation of a RefSeq genome assembly.
GAGACAGAAAGCCCUCCUGUUCCCACGUUGGAUCAGCCUAGCAUGGCCAGAGAGGUCACAGCCACAUUCCUGCUGCUGCUCAGUCCAGUUUUGGCGAAUCAGGUCACUCAGCUCACAUCCAUGGAAGCAACUGAAGGCCACGAUGUGAAUCUCCAAUGCAACCACAGCAGUUUGACUUCUUCAACCAUCUCCUGGUAUCAGCAAAUCCUCAACCAGGCACCGGAACUCGUGCUGAGCGGCUACUCCAGUACCAGAAGUGCCAAGGCCAAGUUAACCAUCCAGGAAGACAGAAAGUCCAAUAUCCUGACACUGCACAACGUCCAGGACAGAGAUUCUGCUGUGUACUACUGUGCUCUGGAUGGGUGUAAUUCUGGAAAUCAGGUGAUAUUUGGGAAAGGAACGAGUCUAACUGUAAAACCAAAUGUCACCAACCCUCAGCCAAGAAUGUACCGUCUGAAAAAACCCCAAGUGAACGACUUGUCCAUUUGCCUGUUCACUGAUUUCGGCAAUGACGAAGUUAAUAUGACGGGAAUACGGAAUAUCAUGCGGGCUCCCAGCGUGGUGGAUGUGAAGAGACUGGAAUCCAAGAGUCUCGGCAUUGUGGCGUGGGACAACAGUCUGGAUUGGGACUGCCAAGCACAGGCUUCCGAGGCAAUCUACAGCCUGUCCAACAGCUCAGGAAAAGUGUGCAACGCCAAAGUUGUGACCGAGAACUUCUCAUCAGACCCAUACCUGAACUCCAGAAACUUGGCCAUGAUUUUCCUCCGCGUCGUCUUCGUGAAGACCAUGGGCUUCAACCUGCUCAUGACCCUGAAACUGUGGUCAAGUUGAAGUUCUGCCCCCUCCAACUCCUUCCUUGCUGUUGAACAAGAGGAGAAAACACACCCAUUGACAGUCAUCAGAGUGGAAGCCCUUCCAUUCCACUCCGAACAUCCCACAAGGACCACGCCCAGCACCCAAGGACACCUGAACUUGAAAGCAUCCCCCCGCUUCCCUUCCUGUUGUCGUUUCCAACAUCAAUCCGGGGCCAGGAGGACUGGAAACGCACACCCGCAACACCCCCAGCUAUAACGAAACCCCACGUCUAAGAACACCCCACAGUAAUGCGAUGGGGGGCAUCUGUCGUCUCCUUCUGCCCUAGGACUGUUGACCUUCAACCUUCCAGCUGUAACUAAGCACUGCUAAAGAGUUUUUUAUUCUUAAUAGAAUUGGGAAAGGAAGCCAUUGCACUUUCUCUUAAGUUUUGCAAAAAGAUUGUAUCCUUAGCCAUGCCCGCUGGAUUCAAGCAGUCUUUGACUUCUCUCCGCCGCCUCGAGAGUUAUACUUCAUUAAAAACCUUUCUGUCCCGCA